UAACCAGUAUCUAGAUUCUUCAAUAUAACAGAUAGAUUUGGAAGUUCAAGGUCGGUUGUAUCAAGAAUGUUAUAUUUCAACAAUAUCUACAGGCGUUAGAACAAUACUUCAAGCAAAAUGGAAGAGCAAAAGGAGCAGAUCAAAUAAGAGAUGUGUAGAAGUUAUAAAGGCAAACAAACAGACAACACAACACAGUGACCAGCAAAUAAACUACCCAUCAAUCAAUAUGACGAAUAAGCGGAAAAAAAUAAAUUUCAAAAUAUGAAAAGGCACAGUAUUCAAGGAAAAUGACAAAGAUAGCCUCCCCCAGUUAUAUAUAGUUCCACUUUAGAUUUUCCUUCAUAAGCCAGAAAAGUGAAUGUUUUUUCUUGUAAAAAAAAGACAGAGAGAGACACACAUGACAUGGGAUGAAAAAAAAAAAAACUAAAAAAAUGCACCAUGGGUUGUGUUAAAAACACAUUGUUUUUGUCAAAAAAAGAAAAAGAAGGCAAAUAUCCACCCAUGACAUUUAACUCAAAUAUAAUGAAUGAGAGAAAGAAAUGAUAAAAACAGCAAA
Molecule: small RNA, 556 nt
Filed under: Histoplasma capsulatum var. duboisii H88
Lineage: Eukaryota; Fungi; Ascomycota; Eurotiomycetes; Onygenales; Ajellomycetaceae
Description: Histoplasma capsulatum H88 hypothetical RNA
Source: RNAcentral